This 492-nucleotide ribosomal RNA is filed under the name uncultured bacterium. RNAcentral describes it as "partial 16S ribosomal RNA". It matches the Rfam family "Bacterial small subunit ribosomal RNA", at positions 29 to 507 of the family's 1533-position model. The record is from RNAcentral.
AGUGAACGCUGGCGGUAGGCCUAACACAUGCAAGUCGAACGGCAGCACAGUAAGAGCUUGCUCUUACGGGUGGCGAGUGGCGGACGGGUGAGGAAUACAUCGGAAUCUACUUUUUCGUGGGGGAUAACGUAGGGAAACUUACGCUAAUACAGCAUACGACCUACGGGUGAAAGCAGGGGAUCUUCGGACCUUGCGCGUUUGAAUGAGCUGAUGUCGGAUUAGCUAGUUGGCGGGGUAAAGGCCCACCAAGGCGACGAUCCGUAGCUGGUCUGAGAGGAUGAUCAGCCACACUGGAACUGAGACACGGUCCAGACUCCUACGGGAGGCAGCAGUAGGGAAUAUUGGACAAUGGGCGCAAGCCUGAUCCAGCCAUACCGCGUGGGUGAAGAAGGCCUUCGGGUUGUAAAGCCCUUUUGUUGGGAAAGAAAAGCAGCAGGUUAAUACCCCGCUGUUCUGACGGUACCCAAAGAAUAAGCACCGGCUAACUUCGUG